CUUGGGCGGGGGGGUCCCUCAGCCUGGAUUGCAAGAGGGCACAGGCCAGGCUAAGGGACCCCACCGGUGCAUG
RNAcentral lists this microRNA precursor (73 nucleotides) under Myotis brandtii (Brandt's bat). Its description in RNAcentral is "mir-9193 microRNA precursor family". It matches the Rfam family "mir-9193 microRNA precursor family". Lineage: Eukaryota; Metazoa; Chordata; Mammalia; Chiroptera; Vespertilionidae. The record is from Rfam by way of RNAcentral.